RNAcentral lists this ribosomal RNA (440 nucleotides) under uncultured bacterium. Its description in RNAcentral is "bacterial SSU rRNA". It matches the Rfam family "Bacterial small subunit ribosomal RNA", at positions 338 to 795 of the family's 1533-position model. The record is from RNAcentral.
CCUACGGGUGGCUGCAGUAACGAAUCUUCCGCAAUGCGCGAAAGCGUGACGGGGUAAUGCCGCGUGCAGGAUGAAGCCCUUCGGGGUGUAAACUGCUGUCAGGGGUUAGGAAUACAUGACCAGCCCCAAAGGAAGAGCCGGCUAACUCUGUGCCAGCAGCCGCGGUAAUACAGAGGGCUCAAGCGUUAAUCGGAAUCACUGGGCUUAAAGCGUGCGUAGGCGGAUCUUCAGGCCCGUUGUGAAAUCCCACGGCUCAACCGUGGAACAGCGACGGGAACCGGAGAUCUUGAGUCAGGUAGAGGCAGGUGGAACGAUAGGUGGAGCGGUGAAAUGCGUAGAUAUCUAUCGGAACGCCAAAGGUGAAGACAGCCUGCUGGGCCUGUUCUGACGCUGAGGCACGAAAGCGUGGGUAGCAAACGGGAUUAGAUACCCGUGUAGUC